GAUGAACGCUGGCGGCGUGCCUAAUACAUGCAAGUCGAGCGAACAGAUGAGGAGCUUGCUCCUCUGACGUUAGCGGCGGACGGGUGAGUAACACGUGGAUAACCUACCUAUAAGACUGGGAUAACUUCGGGAAACCGGAGCUAAUACCGGAUAAUAUAUUGAACCGCAUGGUUCAAUAGUGAAAGACGGUUUUGCUGUCACUUAUAGAUGGAUCCGCGCCGCAUUAGCUAGUUGGUAAGGUAACGGCUUACCAAGGCAACGAUGCGUAGCCGACCUGAGAGGGUGAUCGGCCUCACUGGAACUGAGACACGGUCCAGACUCCUACGGGAGGCAGCAGUAGGGAAUCUUCCGCAAUGGGCGAAAGCCUGACGGAGCAACGCCGCGUGAGUGAUGAAGGUCUUCGGAUCGUAAAACUCUGUUAUUAGGGAAGAACAAAUGUGUAAGUAACUAUGCACGUCCUGACGGUACCUAAUCAGAAAGCCACGGCUAACUACGUG
Molecule: ribosomal RNA, 497 nt
Filed under: uncultured bacterium
Lineage: Bacteria
Description: partial 16S ribosomal RNA
Rfam family: Bacterial small subunit ribosomal RNA
Source: RNAcentral